RNAcentral lists this ribosomal RNA (460 nucleotides) under uncultured bacterium. RNAcentral's name for it is "partial 16S ribosomal RNA". It matches the Rfam family "Bacterial small subunit ribosomal RNA", at positions 338 to 795 of the family's 1533-position model. The record is from RNAcentral.
CCUACGUGUGGCAGCAGUGAGGAAUAUUGGUCAAUGGGCGCAAGCCUGAACCAGCCAAGUCGCGUGAGGGAUGACGGUCCUAUGGAUUGUAAACCUCUUUUGUCGGGGAGCAAGGCCCGCCACGUGUGGCGGGCAGGAGAGUACCCGAAGAAAAAGCCUCGGCUAACUCCGUGCCAGCAGCCGCGGUAAUACGGAGGAUGCGAGCGUUAUCCGGAUUUAUUGGGUUUAAAGGGUGCGUAGGCGGAAGGUGAAGUCAGCGGUAAAAUGUCGGUGCUCAACACCGGCCUGCCGUUGAAACUGGUAUUCUUGAGUGAGCGAGAAGUAGGCGGAAUUCGUGGUGUAGCGGUGAAAUGCAUAGAUAUCACGCAGAACUCCGAUUGCGAAGGCAGCAUACCGGCGCUCAACUGACGCUGAGGCACGAAAGCGUGGGGAUCGAACAGGAUUAGAUACCCCUGUAGUC